AUAUCAAUAAGCGGAGGAAAAGAAACCAACCGGGAUUGCCUUAGUAACGGCGAGUGAAGCGGCAAAAGCUCAAAUUUGAAAUCUGGUACCUUCGGUGCCCGAGUUGUAAUUUGGAGAGGGCAACUUUGGGGCCGUUCCUUGUCUAUGUUCCUUGGAACAGGACGUCAUAGAGGGUGAGAAUCCCGUGUGGCGAGGAGUGCGGUUCUUUGUAAAGUGCCUUCGAAGAGUCGAGUUGUUUGGGAAUGCAGCUCUAAGUGGGUGGUAAAUUCCAUCUAAAGCUAAAUAUUGGCGAGAGACCGAUAGCGAACAAGUACAGUGAUGGAAAGAUGAAAAGAACUUUGAAAAGAGAGUGAAAAAGUACGUGAAAUUGUUGAAAGGGAAGGGCAUUUGAUCAGACAUGGUGUUUUGUGCCCUCUGCUCCUUGUGGGUAGGGGAAUCUCGCAUUUCACUGGGCCAGCAUCAGUUUUGGUGGCAGGAUAAAUCCAUAGGAAUGUAGCUUGCCUCGGUAAGUAUUAUAGCCUGUGGGAAUACUGCCAGCUGGGACUGAGGACUGCGACGUAAGUCAAGGAUGCUGGCAUAAUGGUUAUAUGCCGC
Molecule: ribosomal RNA, 594 nt
Filed under: Saccharomyces cerevisiae (brewer's yeast)
Lineage: Eukaryota; Fungi; Ascomycota; Saccharomycetes; Saccharomycetales; Saccharomycetaceae
Description: eukaryotic LSU rRNA
Rfam family: Eukaryotic large subunit ribosomal RNA
Source: RNAcentral